Meriones unguiculatus (Mongolian gerbil) is the source of this 130-nucleotide small nucleolar RNA. Lineage: Eukaryota; Metazoa; Chordata; Mammalia; Rodentia; Muridae. The record is from Ensembl.
ACUGACUGUAGAGGUGGGGCAGGUGCCUCUGCUACGUCAUGUUCACCAGUAGGUGACAGAGAGGAGAGAGGCCGUGUCUACACUCAGUGUUCUGACCUGUGAGCACCUGAAUGGUUAGUGACCUAACACU